AGGGUCGUAGCUCAAUGGCAGGGUGUCUGCUUUGCAUGAAGAAGGUUCUAGCUUCAAUCCCAAGCAUCUCUA
Non-coding RNA from Podarcis lilfordi (Lilford's wall lizard), 72 nucleotides. The record is from the annotation of a GenBank genome assembly. NCBI's taxonomy places the organism in Eukaryota, Metazoa, Chordata, Lepidosauria, Squamata, Lacertidae.